Molecule: small nuclear RNA, 107 nt
Filed under: Tupaia belangeri (northern tree shrew)
Lineage: Eukaryota; Metazoa; Chordata; Mammalia; Scandentia; Tupaiidae
Source: RNAcentral
GUGCUUGCUUCGGCAGCACAUAUACUAAAAGCAAAAUGAUACAGAGAAGAUUAGCAUGCCCCCUGAGCAAGGAUGACUCGUAAAUUCGUGAAGCGUUCCAUAUUUAA